RNAcentral lists this unclassified non-coding RNA (239 nucleotides) under uncultured fungus. RNAcentral describes it as "partial contains 5.8S ribosomal RNA, internal transcribed spacer 2, and large subunit ribosomal RNA". The stretch from base 1 to 52 matches the Rfam family "5.8S ribosomal RNA", at positions 103 to 154 of the family's 154-position model. Lineage: Eukaryota; Fungi. The record is from RNAcentral.
AACGCACAUUGCGCCCCGUGGUAUUCCGCGGGGCAUGCCUGUUCGAGCGUCAUUAUGACCACUCACGCCUGGCGUGGUGUUGGGGCACGCGGUUCCGCGGCUCUCAAAUCCAGUGGCGGCGUCGGUAGGCUCUAAGCGUAGUAAAAUUUCUCGCUUGAGGGUCCUCCUGGUGGCUCGCUAGAACCCCUAAUUUUUUUAAGGUUGACCUCGGAUCAGGUAAGGAUACCCGCUGAACUUAA